This 400-nucleotide ribosomal RNA is filed under the name uncultured Glomeromycotina. RNAcentral's name for it is "SSU rRNA". It matches the Rfam family "Eukaryotic small subunit ribosomal RNA", at positions 569 to 975 of the family's 1831-position model. The record is from RNAcentral. Lineage: Eukaryota; Fungi; Glomeromycota.
AGCAGCCGCGGUAAAUUCCAGCUCCAAUAGCGUAUAUUAAAGUUGUUGCAGUUAAAAAGCUCGUAGUUGAAUUUCGGGGUUCUACCGUUGGUCGGGCAAUAGUCUGUACUGGCGUGUGGAAUUUCUACCUUCUGGGGAACCAUCAUGUUAUUGAUUUAGCAUAGUGGGAAACCAGGACCUUUACCUUGAAAAAAUUAGAAUGUUCAAAGCAGGUUUACGUCUGAAUACAUUAGCAUGGAAUAAUAAAAUAGGACAGUGGUCCUGUUUUGUUGGUUUCUGAAUCACCGUAAUGAUUAAUAGGGAUAGUUGGGGGCAUUAGUAUUCAAUUGUCAGAGGUGAAAUUCUUGGAUUUAUUGAAGACUAACUUCUGCGAAAGCAUUUGCCAAGGAUGUUUUCAUUA